CUGGUUACAUGAUGAAUAAAAUCAAAUCACCAUCUUUCGGCUGAGCCUCAUGAUGGAUUUGCUUGUUUCUGAUAAAGUUG
Dipodomys ordii (Ord's kangaroo rat) is the source of this 80-nucleotide small nucleolar RNA. NCBI's taxonomy places the organism in Eukaryota, Metazoa, Chordata, Mammalia, Rodentia, Heteromyidae. The record is from Ensembl.